Molecule: ribosomal RNA, 386 nt
Filed under: uncultured bacterium
Lineage: Bacteria
Description: bacterial SSU rRNA
Rfam family: Bacterial small subunit ribosomal RNA
Source: RNAcentral
AUUGAACGCUGGCGGCAUGCCUUACACAUGCAAGUCGAACGGCAGCACGGGAGCAAUCCUGGUGGCGAGUGGCGAACGGGUGAGUAGUAUAUCGGAACGUGCCCAGUCGUGGGGAUAACGUAGCGAAAGCUACGCUAAUACCGCAUACGAUCUAUGGAUGAAAGCGGGGGAUCGCAAGACCUCGCGCGAUUGGAGCGGCCGAUAUCAGAUUAGGUAGUUGGUGAGGUAAAGGCUCACCAAGCCGACGAUCUGUAGCUGGUCUGAGAGGACGACCAGCCACACUGGGACUGAGACACGGCCCAGACUCCUACGGGAGGCAGCAGUGGGGAAUUUUGGACAAUGGGCGCAAGCCUGAUCCAGCAAUGCCGCGUGCAGGAUGAAGGCCU